Molecule: transfer RNA, 69 nt
Filed under: Rhamnusium bicolor
Lineage: Eukaryota; Metazoa; Arthropoda; Insecta; Coleoptera; Cerambycidae
Description: tRNA-OTHER
Rfam family: tRNA
About the family: Transfer RNA (tRNA) molecules are approximately 80 nucleotides in length. Their secondary structure includes four short double-helical elements and three loops (D, anti-codon, and T loops).
Source: RNAcentral
GCCCGGCUAGCUGUCGGUAGAGCAUGAGACUUAAUCUCAGGGUCGUGGGUUCGGACCCCACGUUGUGCG